AUUGAACGCUGGCGGCAUGCCUUACACAUGCAAGUCGAACGGUAACAGGUCUUCGGAUGCUGACGAGUGGCGAACGGGUGAGUAAUACAUCGGAACGUGCCCGAUCGUGGGGGAUAACGAGGCGAAAGCUUUGCUAAUACCGCAUACGAUCUACGGAUGAAAGCGGGGGAUCUUCGGACCUCGCACGGACGGAGCGGCCGAUGGCAGAUUAGGUAGUUGGUGGGAUAAAAGCUUACCAAGCCGACGAUCUGUAGCUGGUCUGAGAGGAUGAUCAGCCACACUGGGACUGAGACACGGCCCAGACUCCUACGGGAGGCAGCAGUGGGGAAUUUUGGACAAUGGGCGAAAGCCUGAUCCAGCCAUGCCGCGUGCAGGAUGAAGGCCUUCGGGUUGUAAACUGCUUUUGUACGGAACGAAAAGCCUCUUUCUAAUAAAGAGGGGUCAUGACGGUACCGUAAGAAUAAGCACCGGCUAACUACGUG
This 482-nucleotide ribosomal RNA is filed under the name uncultured bacterium. Its description in RNAcentral is "partial 16S ribosomal RNA". It matches the Rfam family "Bacterial small subunit ribosomal RNA", at positions 30 to 507 of the family's 1533-position model. The record is from RNAcentral.